ACGAACGCUGGCGGCGUGCCUAAUACAUGCAAGUAGAACGCUGAAGGAGGAGCUUGCUUCUCCGGAUGAGUUGCGAACGGGUGAGUAACGCGUAGGUAACCUGCCUGGUAGCGGGGGAUAACUAUUGGAAACGAUAGCUAAUACCGCAUAACAGUAGAUAUUGCAUGAUAUCUGCUUGAAAGGUGCAAUUGCAUCACUACCAGAUGGACCUGCGUUGUAUUAGCUAGUUGGUGAGGUAACGGCUCACCAAGGCGACGAUACAUAGCCGACCUGAGAGGGUGAGGGGCCACACGGAAAGUGACACGGGGCACACACCCACAGGGGGGACCACUGUGGGGACUUUGCGAAAAGGCAGAAAACUCUGCGCGCAACACCGCGCGGGUGAAAAAAGGGUUCUGGGAUUGAAAAGCUGUUGUGUAAGAAAAACAAGAGUGGGAGUGUAAAAUGCACACUCUGACGGUAUCUUACCAGAAAGGGACGGCUAACUACGUG
RNAcentral lists this ribosomal RNA (492 nucleotides) under uncultured bacterium. Its description in RNAcentral is "partial 16S ribosomal RNA". It matches the Rfam family "Bacterial small subunit ribosomal RNA", at positions 29 to 507 of the family's 1533-position model. The record is from RNAcentral.